RNAcentral lists this ribosomal RNA (497 nucleotides) under uncultured bacterium. Its description in RNAcentral is "partial 16S ribosomal RNA". It matches the Rfam family "Bacterial small subunit ribosomal RNA", at positions 28 to 507 of the family's 1533-position model. The record is from RNAcentral.
GAUGAACGCUGGCGGCGUGCCUAAUACAUGCAAGUCGAGCGAACGGACGAGAAGCUUGCUUCUCUGAUGUUAGCGGCGGACGGGUGAGUAACACGUGGAUAACCUACCUAUAAGACUGGGAUAACUUCGGGAAACCGGAGCUAAUACCGGAUAAUAUUUUGAACCGCAUGGUUCAAAAGUGAAAGACGGUCUUGCUGUCACCUAUAGAUGGAUCCGCGCUGCAUUAGCUAGCUGGUAAGGUAACGGCUUACCAAGGCAACGAUGCAUAGCCGACCUGAGAGGGUGAUCGGCCACACUGGAACUGAGACACGGUCCAGACUCCUACGGGAGGCAGCAGUAGGGAAUCUUCCGCAAUGGGCGAAAGCCUGACGGAGCAACGCCGCGUGAGUGAUGAAGGUCUUCGGAACGUAAAACUCUGUUAUUAGGGAAGAACAUAUGUGUAAGUAACUGUGCACAUCUUGACGGUACCUAAUCAGAAAGCCACGGCUAACUACGUG